AAGAUGAAGGCGAUGAACCGGUUCUUUGACGAGGGUGACAAGGUGAAGGUGACCCUGAAGUUCCGCGGCCGUGAAAUGGCCCACCAGGAACUCGGCAUGAAGCUUCUCCUUCAGGUUAAGGAAGAUACCCAGGCAAUUGCCAAGGUGGAAGCCGAGCCGAAGCUGGAAGGCCGUCAGAUGAUGAUGGUUCUCGCCCCGAGAUAAUUGCGCCAGUUCUGAAAGCUGCGUAAAUCACCGCCGCAAGGGGAAAUUUUCAUUCCCCGUUGCGCUUUUAGCCGACUGCGGUUAUAAGCGCG
This 296-nucleotide unclassified non-coding RNA is filed under the name Agrobacterium fabrum. RNAcentral's name for it is "Long range pseudoknot". Lineage: Bacteria; Pseudomonadati; Pseudomonadota; Alphaproteobacteria; Hyphomicrobiales; Rhizobiaceae. The record is from RNAcentral.